UACCGGAUGGCGUCAGGUCGUGGAGCGCGGGGGACAUGCUGCGGAGUCCUCUCCUCCUCGCGCCGGGGACGCGGCGGGGAAGACGCACCCUCCCUCCACACGUGACGGCCCAGAGCCGCGCCAGCCAGCGCGGGGCCAGUGGUUCACAGAAGGCAGGAGUCCGGGGGACACUGAGGGAGGGGCCUCCCCUCAGGACCCGGGCGCGGCGCGGCGACGACAGGCGGACCCCUGGCCCAGACCACUGCUCAAGCACGUGCUUUCUUCUCGGCCACCUGGCCUGUCCUUGGCAAGGGCCUGGCGGCUAGACCCGCGCGACCGGAGGCUGGGUCGCCGGGAGGGCGCGGGAUAGACCCGAAGAGGAGGACGACGUGGCGGCCGAGGCGCGGGCCGAGGCUCACAGCCCCCUAGGGCUUUGGGGCAACUCAGAAUACUGUUAGUUUGUGCGCGCACUCCAGCCUCAGCGUGGGAGGUCCCGCCCUUCAGGCCCGUGAUUGGUCUGUAGGAGCUCGUCGCGGCUCUAUGGGCUGCUAGAUCUCAACCACUCACCUGAGGCUUUGCCCCAGGGGUUUCUGGGAGAUGUAGUCCAGGGUCCCAGGUGCCCCUCUGAGGCUUUGCGCAUCUCAGCCCGGCGCCCGAAAGUGCGGCCGCAGGGGGUCUCCCCAAGUUUAAAUCCUGGUGUGAAGUUGGCGCUGACCUCAACAUGUUGUAUGAUGUCAAGAGCCCGGUACUUGGGAGUCUUGGAAGACCAGAUUGACUAAUUAAUUUUUUGUCGAGAAAACCAAGGAAUGCCAAGGAUUGCUGGCAAACAUCAGAAGCUGGAAGAGACAAGGAAGGAUUCUCCCCUGUAGGGAAGUCUGCAGUGCUGUGGAGAUAACUUCGGAAAGACCUUAAGGUCCCGGGGAAUCCUUGGCUAGGAAUUCUCAUUGACAAAUCACAACCACCUCCAGCUCCCAGCUUAAAAAGAAUGAUGGUUUGUCAGUUGCUUAAGUAUUGAGUUAUUAAGAUGAACCGGUUUGCAGGGCAGAAAUACAGACACAGAUGUAGAGAACAAACAUGUGGACACCAAGGGGGGAAAGUGGUGGUGGUGGGAUGAAUUGGGAGAUUGGGAUUGACAUGUAUACACGGAUGUGUAUAAAAUAGAUAAUAAGAAC
Balaenoptera ricei (Rice's whale) is the source of this 1151-nucleotide long non-coding RNA. RefSeq lists it as uncharacterized. The record is from RefSeq and is a predicted model, not a curated record. The transcript is spliced from 3 exons. Lineage: Eukaryota; Metazoa; Chordata; Mammalia; Artiodactyla; Balaenopteridae.